Molecule: ribosomal RNA, 278 nt
Filed under: uncultured bacterium
Lineage: Bacteria
Description: partial 16S ribosomal RNA
Rfam family: Bacterial small subunit ribosomal RNA
Source: RNAcentral
AAUCAACGCUGGCGGCGUGCCUCAGACAUGCAAGUCGAACGAUUAAACUUUCCUUCGGGAAAGAUAUAAAGUGGCGCACGGGUGAGUAACACGUAAGUAAUCUACCUUCGAGUGGGGAAUAACGUUCGGAAACGAACGCUAAUACCGCAUAAUGCAGCGGCACCUAAUGGUGACAGUUGUUAAAGGAGCAAUUCGCUUGAAGAGGAGCUUGCGGCAGAUUAGCUAGUUGGAAGGUAACGGCUUACCAAGGCUACGAUCUGUAACCGGUCUAAGAGGAC